Non-coding RNA from Araneus ventricosus, 69 nucleotides. Lineage: Eukaryota; Metazoa; Arthropoda; Arachnida; Araneae; Araneidae. The record is from the annotation of a GenBank genome assembly.
UCCCUCGUGGCCUAACGGAUAGGCAUCGGUUCCCUAAACUGGGAUCGGGUUCGAAUCCUCGCGAGGGUA